UACGGGGGGAGCAAGCGUUGUUCGGAUUUACUGGGCGUAAAGGGCGCGUAGGCGGCCACCGCAAGUCAGUUGUGAAAUCCCUGGGCUCAACCUGGGAACUGCAUUCGAUACUGUCGAGCUAGAGUGUGGGAGAGGGUAGUGGAAUUCCCGGUGUAGCGGUGAAAUGCGUAGAUAUCGGGAGGAACAUCAGUGGCGAAGGCGACUGCCUGGCCCAACACUGACGCUGAGGUGCGAAAGCGUGGGUAGCAAACAGG
Molecule: ribosomal RNA, 254 nt
Filed under: uncultured bacterium
Lineage: Bacteria
Description: partial 16S ribosomal RNA
Rfam family: Bacterial small subunit ribosomal RNA
Source: RNAcentral